CUGGGGUCCCCGUUGUGGGCCAUUUGACCCACAUGUAGGAGGUGGCCUGGAUCUGCUGGAUUUCCCACCCACGUCUGCAUCCGGGGGGUCUCGCCUGGGCCGGUGGCUGGGCUGUGAUGGGAGCCCUGAGCGUCCCCCCUCCCCACACUCGUGUGGGGUCCCCAGCGCCGCGUCCCCACAUCUCUGAGGGAAGCAGGCUCUUCAGUGAAGCAGAAUUUGGCAGUGACACGUCCUCUGUCCUCCGUCACAGCAGGGAGAGACCGGGGCGUGGACAAGAGCAAUUUUUCUCAGCUCGGGAGCCACAAGACAAUUCCUCAGCAUUCAGAUGACUCUCAGGAGCCGAGCUCCACUUCAAAGGGGUUUAAUUUAAUAAGAGGAAGAGCCGGGGCUCCCAGGGAACCUAAUUAGGGUUCUUUCCACUCCCCUGCGUCUCGCGUCUGCUUCUGAAGAGGGGCCAGGCCCCCGAUUGUGCUGUGUUUGGGUCCAGAGUGGAGGAACGGGCAGCUAGGCCCCACCGGGAGGACAUCCCUCUGCCUCAGGACUGACAGUGCAGACCCUGUCCCCAGCAGGAGAGGCCCGGCCACCCCAAAAGUCGGUGGGACUUGGGGCUGAGGGAGAGUGGGCAGAAGAAGGGGGCUGGGGAGAGGGGGGUCUGGAGCCACACUGGAGCCCAGCCCCUCUCCUUCCCAGCUGUGGGGUCCUGAGGACAGGCCACCUGCUCUCUGCAGCUCGGUCUCCUCAUCUGUGAAAUGGGCAGAUGACAGGAGCCCCCCGUCAGGCAGUCAGGAACUUGCUCUGUGCUAAGGGACAUGCAGUGGCUACCGCGGUGCCCAGCACAGAGGGGCACUGUCGCCACUCUUUCAACUACGGGAAUCGGAAGAGGGGGAUGGCUUUCCACGGUCGAGCUGACCUAAUGUUGCCCAGAUCUGGUGGACUCAGAAGCCAGCUCAGAGGAAAUCCCCGAGGGAGGGUCCCUCUCUUCCACAGUGACAAGAUCCAAGAGACCUCAGUUCACAUCCUGGCUCUUCCACUUGUAGCUGUGUGACCUUGAACAAAUUGCUUUGCCUCUCUGAGCGUCAGUGUCUUCUCUUGUAAAACAUAAUCAUGAU
This 1109-nucleotide long non-coding RNA is filed under the name Marmota monax (woodchuck). The record is from RNAcentral. Lineage: Eukaryota; Metazoa; Chordata; Mammalia; Rodentia; Sciuridae.